This 1948-nucleotide ribosomal RNA is filed under the name human gut metagenome. Its description in RNAcentral is "bacterial LSU rRNA". It matches the Rfam family "Bacterial large subunit ribosomal RNA", at positions 1 to 1963 of the family's 2925-position model. The record is from RNAcentral.
UUAAGUGAAUAAGGGCGCACGGUGGAUGCCUUGGCACUAGGAGCCGAUGAAGGACGGGACUAACACCGAUAUGCUUUGGGGAGCUGUAAGUAAGCUAUGAUCCAGAGAUUUCCGAAUGGGGGAACCCAAUAUCUUUUAUAGGAUAUUACUUUUCAGUGAAUACAUAGCUGAUUAGAGGUAGACGCAGAGAACUGAAACAUCUUAGUACCUGCAGGAAGAGAAAGAAAAUUCGAUUCCCUGAGUAGCGGCGAGCGAAACGGGAAGAGCCCAAACCAACAAGCUUGCUUGUUGGGGUUGUAGGACUCCAAUAUGGUAGUCUGUUAGUAUAGUUGAAGGAUUUGGAAAAUUCCGCUAAAGAGGGUGAAAGCCCCGUAGACGAAAUGCUAACAACACCUAGGAGGAUCCUGAGUACGGCGGAACACGAGAAAUUCCGUCGGAAUCCGCGGGGACCAUCCCGCAAGGCUAAAUACUCCCUAGUGACCGAUAGUGAACCAGUACCGUGAGGGAAAGGUGAAAAGCACCCCGGAAGGGGAGUGAAAUAGAUCCUGAAACCGUGUGCCUACAACAAGUCAAAGCUCGUUAAUGAGUGAUGGCGUGCCUUUUGUAGAAUGAACCGGCGAGUUACGAUUGCAUGCGAGGUUAAGUCGAAGAGACGGAGCCGCAGCGAAAGCGAGUCUGAAUAGGGCGAAUGAGUAUGUAGUCGUAGACCCGAAACCAUGUGAUCUACCCAUGUCCAGGUUGAAGGUGCGGUAAAACGCACUGGAGGACCGAACCCACGUACGUUGAAAAGUGCGGGGAUGAGGUGUGGGUAGCGGAGAAAUUCCAAACGAACUUGGAGAUAGCUGGUUCUCUCCGAAAUAGCUUUAGGGCUAGCCUCGGAAUUGAGAAUGAUGGAGGUAGAGCACUGUUUGGACUAGGGGCCCAUCUCGGGUUACCGAAUUCAGAUAAACUCCGAAUGCCAUUCAUUUAUAUCCGGGAGUCAGACUGCGAGUGAUAAGAUCCGUAGUCGAAAGGGAAACAGCCCAGACCACCAGCUAAGGUCCCAAAAUAUAUGUUAAGUGGAAAAGGAUGUGGGGUUGCACAGACAACUAGGAUGUUGGCUUAGAAGCAGCCACCAUUUAAAGAGUGCGUAAUAGCUCACUAGUCGAGUGACCCUGCGCCGAAAAUGUACCGGGGCUAAACAUAUUACCGAAGCUGUGGACUACACCAUUAGGUGUAGUGGUAGGAGAGCGUUCUAAGGGCGUUGAAGGUCGAUCGUGAGGACGGCUGGAGCGCUUAGAAGUGAGAAUGCCGGUAUGAGUAGCGAAAGACAGGUGAGAAUCCUGUCCACCGUAUGACUAAGGUUUCCUGGGGAAGGCUCGUCCGCCCAGGGUUAGUCGGGACCUAAGCCGAGGCCGAUAGGCGUAGGCGAUGGACAACAGGUUGAUAUUCCUGUACCAGUUGUUUUUGUUUGAGCAAUGGAGGGACGCAGUAGGCUAAGGAAUGCAUGCGAUUGGAAGUGCAUGUCCAAGCAAUGAGUCUUGAGUAGAGUUAAAUGCUUUACUCUUUAAGGACAAGUUGUGACGGGGAGCGAAAUAAUAGUAGCGAAGUUCCUGAUGUCACACUGCCAAGAAAAGCUUCUAGUGAGAAAACAACUGCCCGUACCGUAAACCGACACAGGUAGUCGAGGAGAGUAUCCUAAGGUGAGCGAGCGAACUCUCGUUAAGGAACUCGGCAAAAUGACCCCGUAACUUCGGGAGAAGGGGUGCUGACGACCGUCAGCCGCAGUGAAUAGGCCCAAGCGACUGUUUAUCAAAAACACAGGUCUCUGCAAAAUCGUAAGAUGAAGUAUAGGGGCUGACGCCUGCCCGGUGCUGGAAGGUUAAGAGGAUGGGUUAGCUUCGGCGAAGCUCAGAAUUGAAGCCCCAGUAAACGGCGGCCGUAACUAUAACGGUCCUAAGGUAGCGAA